CCACGGGCGGCUGCAGUGGGGAAUAUUGGACAAUGGGGGCAACCCUGAUCCAGCCAUGCCGCGUGUGUGAAGAAGGCCCUCGGGUUGUAAAGCACUUUCAGUGAGGAAGAACGCCUGGUGGUUAAUACCCAUCAGGAAAGACAUCACUCACAGAAGAAGCACCGGCUAACUCCGUGCCAGCAGCCGCGGUAAUACGGAGGGUGCGAGCGUUAAUCGGAAUUACUGGGCGUAAAGCGCGCGUAGGUGGCUUGAUAAGCCGGUUGUGAAAGCCCCGGGCUCAACCUGGGAACGGCAUCCGGAACUGUCAAGCUAGAGUGCAGGAGAGGAAGGUAGAAUUCCCGGUGUAGCGGUGAAAUGCGUAGAGAUCGGGAGGAAUACCAGUGGCGAAGGCGGCCUUCUGGACUGACACUGACACUGAGGUGCGAAAGCGUGGGUAGCAAACAGGAUUAGAUACCCUAGUAGUC
RNAcentral lists this ribosomal RNA (464 nucleotides) under Vreelandella stevensii. RNAcentral describes it as "partial 16S ribosomal RNA". It matches the Rfam family "Bacterial small subunit ribosomal RNA", at positions 339 to 795 of the family's 1533-position model. The record is from RNAcentral. Lineage: Bacteria; Pseudomonadati; Pseudomonadota; Gammaproteobacteria; Oceanospirillales; Halomonadaceae.